Molecule: ribosomal RNA, 369 nt
Filed under: unidentified
Description: Burmoniscus sp. partial 12S ribosomal RNA
Source: RNAcentral
UAAACUAGGAUUAGAUACCCUAUUAUUUAAGGUAAUCCUCUUUUAAGGUAGUAGUUGCUACAAACUUGAAACCUAAAGAAUUUGGCGGUGUCUAUUCAAAUUAGAGGAACCUGUUUAUUAAUAGAUAAUCCACUUUACCUCUUUCUUUCAAUCAGUUUGUAUACCGUCAUCUAAAAUAAUUUUUUUUAAAAUUAUUUCAUUGAUUUUACAUAAAAGUUAGAUCAAGGUACAGCUUUUCAAAGACCUAAAUGGGUUACAAUACCAAUCAGACUGGACAUUUCUAUUUUAUAGAAAUCAAAAUUGGAUUUAAAAGUAAUUUUAGUUUAACAAGCUAUAAUGAGUUAAAUUUAAGGCAUGUACACAUCGCCG